CCUACGGGGGGCAGCAGUGGGGAAUAUUGGACAAUGGGCGAAAGCCUGAUCCAGCCAUGCCGCGUGUGUGAAGAAGGCCUUCGGGUUGUAAAGCACUUUCAGUGGGGAAGAAAGCCUUGGGGCUAAUACCCUCGAGGAAGGACAUCACCCACAGAAGAAGCACCGGCUAACUCCGUGCCAGCAGCCGCGGUAAUACGGAGGGUGCGAGCGUUAAUCGGAAUUACUGGGCGUAAAGCGCGCGUAGGCGGUCUGAUAAGCCGGUUGUGAAAGCCCCGGGCUCAACCUGGGAACGGCAUCCGGAACUGUCAGGCUAGAGUGCAGGAGAGGAAGGGAGAAUUCCCGGUGUAGCGGUGAAAUGCGUAGAGAUCGGGAGGAAUACCAGUGGCGAAGGCGGCCUUCUGGACUGACACUGACGCUGAGGUGCGAAAGCGUGGGUAGCAAACAGGAUUAGAUACCCUGGUGUC
This 464-nucleotide ribosomal RNA is filed under the name Vreelandella stevensii. RNAcentral's name for it is "partial 16S ribosomal RNA". It matches the Rfam family "Bacterial small subunit ribosomal RNA", at positions 338 to 795 of the family's 1533-position model. Lineage: Bacteria; Pseudomonadati; Pseudomonadota; Gammaproteobacteria; Oceanospirillales; Halomonadaceae. The record is from RNAcentral.